GACGAACGCUGGCGGCGUGCUUAACACAUGCAAGUCGAACGGAAAGGCCCUUCUUUUGUGGGGUGCUCGAGUGGCGAACGGGUGAGUAACACGUGAGUAACCUGCCCUUGACUUUGGGAUAACUUCAGGAAACUGGGGCUCAUACCGGAUAUGAGCUCCUGCUGCAUGGUGGGGGUUGGAAAGUUUCGGCGGGUGGGGAUGGACUCGCGGCUUAUCAGCUUGUUGGUGGGGUAGUGGCUUACCAAGGCUUUGACGGGUAGCCGGCCUGAGUGGGUGACCGGCCACAAUGGGACUGAGAGACGGCGCAGACGGCUACGGGAGGCAGAAGGGGGGAAUAUUGCACAAUGAGCGGAAGCCUGAUGCAGAAACGCCGCGGGCGGGAUGACGGCCUUCGGGGUGUAAACCGCUUUCGCCUGUGACGAAGCGUGAGUGACGGUAAUGGGUAAAGAAGCACCGGCUAACUACGUG
This 468-nucleotide ribosomal RNA is filed under the name uncultured bacterium. Its description in RNAcentral is "partial 16S ribosomal RNA". It matches the Rfam family "Bacterial small subunit ribosomal RNA", at positions 28 to 507 of the family's 1533-position model. The record is from RNAcentral.